AUUUUACUUGCAGUGUGGGCAGCUGGAGUGGAGUGGAGAAUUUUACCCUGUGCCUCCCUGGCAGGGAGAGAAGAGGCCCACGACUGGCUCCUACAGAUAUUAAAGAGGAGACUGAAACUGUUCCUUGGACAUCUUAUGAGUGUCAGAAAAUACCUUUUGGAGGGUUAGAAGAUCAGAGGACAUGGUUGUUCACAUUUGCUGCCAUGGAUCACCGCCAGUCUUCACUUGGAAACAGAAUCACACCUUGUGAAGAGAUCAUCCCUAAGCAGGAGAGAAGCUACUAAAGGGUGGUGUCCUCCUCCUCCUUCCCUGUGCUCGGUCUCCACCUGU
RNAcentral lists this small RNA (330 nucleotides) under Pongo abelii (Sumatran orangutan). Its description in RNAcentral is "processed transcript". The record is from RNAcentral. Lineage: Eukaryota; Metazoa; Chordata; Mammalia; Primates; Hominidae.